AGAUUUGGAUUCUCCCUGGCAUGGAGUGCCCCGAGGGAGGGGUGGGCUGCCAUAUUUGAUGUUUUGGCAACUUAGCCAUUCCAACCUUUGGGCUUUAAGGAGUCCCAGCUGACUUAGGGUGGAUAUAGCCCACCAGCACAGCACAGCUGCUGUACAAAAGCAUAGCCAGACUGCUUCUUUAAGCAGGUCCCGGAUUCAUUCCUCCUCACUGUUUGGGACUUCCCAACUGGGGCCUCCAGCCACCCCCACUGGUGUUCUCCUGCUGACAGUGAUUUCAGUUUUUUCUUGGCUGGAGCUCCCUGAUGGAGGGGCAGGCCAUCAUGUUUGCUGUUUUUGCAACUUAACCACUUCAACCUUCAGUCUUUGGAGUGUCCAAGGAGACCAGGGGCUGAUGUGGACCCUCAGCAUAGCACAGAUGCUCUAUAAAAAUGUGGUCAGACUGCUUUUUAAGCACUUUCCCAAUGUCAUUCCGCCUCACUGGGCAAAACCCCCUAACUGGGGUCUCCAGCUACCUCCUACAGGUGUGUUUGGGCCAGCAACAAGUUCAUUCAUACCUCCCUAGGGCAAAGCUUCCAAAGGGAGCAGUAGGCUGCCAACUUUUCUGUUUCACAGCCUUCACUGAUGAUAACUCCAGGUACUGGAAAAUCUGAGGCUACUAGAGACUGAAGUGGGCCCUGGGCAUACUGCAGCAGCCCUAUGGAAAAGUGGCCAGACUGUUACCUGGGUUCCCAUUCCUGUAUCUUCUCACUAGGCAAGUCUUGCAGGCCUGGGCCUCUACCUAACCCCCCUGCCAGAGCUGUCGAGCCAGUAGCAACUCAGCCACUCCCUGGACAGAGCCUCCAGGGGCAACUGAAAGCCUCUCUGCCACUGCUUCUGCAGUGGAACUGUCCUUGCUACCCUCAGACUGAUGAAGGAGCUAACACCCUUAUCUACACCUUCAACAAGCUUUAAUUGACCAAAGCCCAUCUCCCACGGGUUUUACACACUCCCCACUGCUCAUAACAGACAGGGAACCCCUGGAUUGGCCCCCACAGCAUGAAUUCUCCAUCCUGCUUGCUGAUUGCAAUAAACAGUUGCUGACCUGUAUUCUCCGGGGGUAGAACCCUGAGGAGACAAACAAAAGACCCUUGGCUACAACCACUACUAAUGUCCCUUCCUCUUCUUCCCCAAAGUUAGGGAAGAAAUAUAAACACUGAGAUUGCCCCAGAGCUGCAGUGGGCAGCCUAGGAGUGCCAAGCCAUGAUCUACAGCCAGCACUCAAGGAGGAGAGAAGCACAUUUUCAGAUCAUUGAGAGUGAACAUGGCUGCAACUGUGAGGAAACAUAGGGGAGCCACAUGACCAAGCAAGACUCUACCAACUGACCAGUAAGCCCAAGUGCCACCUACUGGAUCACAUCCCAAAGCUUCAGCACCAAAAAUACCUUACUAAUAUACUCCCCUCUGAAACCAGAAAUGAGAAGUCAGCUUCAAAUAAAGAACCUGCACAAAGCCUCAGCCUGGUGAAAACAUCUGAAAAUAAGUCUACGGACUGUACUCAAUCUACACUGCAAUUAAAGGAAAACCCAUAGGUGGAAAUGAGAAGAAACCAAUGCAAGAACUCCAGUAACUCAAAUGGCCUCUGUGUCAUAUGUCCUUCAAACAACCACACCAGUUCUCCAACAAGAGUUCUUAACCUGGAUGAACUGUCUGGAAUUACAUAAAUAUAAUUGA
Homo sapiens (human) is the source of this 1710-nucleotide long non-coding RNA. Ensembl annotates it as long intergenic non-protein coding RNA 342. Lineage: Eukaryota; Metazoa; Chordata; Mammalia; Primates; Hominidae. The record is from Ensembl.